AUGCAAACACCGCAUCUGGGAGAGGAAAGCAGAAGAAGGAAGGUCACAGAAACACAUGGUGUCAUUUCUCCACAAGAACAGAAAGGACACAGCUAUGUUUAUUGUUCUGUGCAUUCAUUAUCCACUGGCUUUUUUUUUUUUUUUUUUUUUGAAAGAGUCUCACUUUGUUGCCCAGGCUGGAGUGCAGUGAGCGAUCUCAGGUCACUGCAACCUCCGCCUCCAGGAUUCAAGCGAUUCUCCUGCCUCAGCCUCCUGAGUAGCUGGGAUUACAGGCGUUUGUAGCCACUGUAAUCUGCAGUUUGGGGCAUGUGCUGCCAGAGACUUUUCUGCCACUAUGCACAGAAGUAGGUUAGGGAUUUUAGAAUUAUGAUGAUAUUUUAUUUUGUUUUCCAGAACAUGAUUAUGCUCUACAUAUUGUUCUGCAAUUUGCUUUUUCACUUAAUAAAUACACUUCAGCUAUCUCUAUCAGUGAAUAUUUUAAACUGUUGAAUAGUGUUCUAAUAUAUGGUUCUAAUAUAUAGUACAACUUUAUAAAACUGUUUC
Molecule: long non-coding RNA, 543 nt
Filed under: Pan troglodytes (chimpanzee)
Lineage: Eukaryota; Metazoa; Chordata; Mammalia; Primates; Hominidae
Description: long non-coding RNA NONPTRT002281
Source: RNAcentral